AGAAUCAACGCUGGCGGCGUGCCUAACACAUGCAAGUCGAACGAGAAAGUGGAGCAAUCCAUGAGUAAAGUGGCGCACGGGUGAGUAACACGUGACUAACCUACCCUUGAGUGGGGGAUAACCUAGAGAAAUCUGGGCUAAUACCGCAUAAUACCUUCGGGUCAAAGGAGCAAUUCGCUUAAGGAGGGGGCCGCGGCCGAUUAGUUAGUUGGCGGGGUAAUGGCCCACCAAGACUAUGAUCGGUA
Molecule: ribosomal RNA, 245 nt
Filed under: uncultured bacterium
Lineage: Bacteria
Description: partial small subunit ribosomal RNA
Rfam family: Bacterial small subunit ribosomal RNA
Source: RNAcentral